AUCAUGCUGACGAGUCCGAAAUAGAACGAAACGCGCGUUCUGUAU
RNAcentral lists this non-coding RNA (45 nucleotides) under Schistosoma mattheei. The record is from RNAcentral. Lineage: Eukaryota; Metazoa; Platyhelminthes; Trematoda; Strigeidida; Schistosomatidae.